Non-coding RNA from Ailuropoda melanoleuca (giant panda), 68 nucleotides. The record is from the annotation of a RefSeq genome assembly. Lineage: Eukaryota; Metazoa; Chordata; Mammalia; Carnivora; Ursidae.
CAAAGUGUAGCUUAAACAAAGCGUCUGGCUUACAUCCAGAAGAUUUCAUUAAUAUAUGACUACUUUGA